GAUGAACGCUAGCUACAGGCUUAACACAUGCAAGUCGAACGAGACCUUCGGGUCUAGUGGCGCACGGGUGCGUAACGCGUGGGAAUCUGCCCUUGGGUUCGGAAUAACUCGCCGAAAGGCGUGCUAAUACCGGAUGAUGUCGUAAGACCAAAGACUUAUCGCCCAGGGAUGAGCCCGCGUAAGAUUAGGUAGUUGGUGAGGUAAAGGCUCACCAAGCCGACGAUCUUUAGCUGGUCUGAGAGGAUGAUCAGCCACACUGGGACUGAGACACGGCCCAG
Molecule: ribosomal RNA, 278 nt
Filed under: uncultured bacterium
Lineage: Bacteria
Description: partial 16S ribosomal RNA
Rfam family: Bacterial small subunit ribosomal RNA
Source: RNAcentral